Pelobates cultripes (western spadefoot toad) is the source of this 405-nucleotide non-coding RNA. The record is from the annotation of a GenBank genome assembly. NCBI's taxonomy places the organism in Eukaryota, Metazoa, Chordata, Amphibia, Anura, Pelobatidae.
UUUUAAUUGAUUAUAAUGCAACUUAUUUCAUCCUUAUCAAAAGUAGUUUUUAAUUAACUGCAGCCAGAAUACCUGAUUGAUUCAUUGCUAGAUUUACAUUUCCUUGACCAAUCAAUCCCAGUUUUACUGGAGAAUAGCAGCUUAAUGGCCCGCAAAGGUUCUACUCAUCUCAGCGAAGAGCCGGGUCCUGAUGAAAGCUGUCUGCCAGAAAAAGCCACUGAAAUUAAUAUCCAGGCUGUUCUGGAAAAGACAUCAAAAGCUAUACGAGAUAUUGAAUUAUUGCUUUCCUCCAGAAAGUAAUAACUAUGGAAUGUAAAUAAGUUGGUGCAGGUCUCGCGGCUAUGAAGAAAUUCAUACUGUGUACUGAACACCCUUUAUAGACAUAAAUUGUUUUUAUGAUAGAAG